Molecule: ribosomal RNA, 559 nt
Filed under: uncultured bacterium
Lineage: Bacteria
Description: bacterial SSU rRNA
Rfam family: Bacterial small subunit ribosomal RNA
Source: RNAcentral
CGGAAUCUGCCUAUUUGUGGGGGAUAACGUAGGGAAACUUACGCUAAUACCGCAUACGACCUACGGGUGAAAGCGGAGGACCCUCGGGCUUCGCGCAGAUAGAUGAGCCGAUGUCGGAUUAGCUAGUUGGCGGGGUAAAGGCCCACCAAGGCGACGAUCCGUAGCUGGUCUGAGAGGAUGAUCAGCCACACUGGAACUGAGACACGGUCCAGACUCCUACGGGAGGCAGCAGUAGGGAAUAUUGGACAAUGGGCGCAAGCCUGAUCCAGCCAUGCCGCGUGGGUGAAGAAGGCCUUCGGGUUGUAAAGCCCUUUUGUUGGGAAAGAAAAGCAGUCGGUUAAUACCCGAUUGUUCUGACGGUACCCAAAGAAUAAGCACCGGCUAACUUCGUGCCAGCAGCCGCGGUAAUACGAAGGGUGCAAGCGUUACUCGGAAUUACUGGGCGUAAAGCGUGCGUAGGUGGUUUGUUAAGUCUGAUGUGAAAGCCCUGGGCUCAACCUGGGAAUUGCAUUGGAUACUGGCAGGCUAGAGUGCGGUAGAGGGUAGUGGAAUUCCCGGU